AGAAAAUGAAUGUUUGACUGAAAUAAAAUCGUAUGAUAUAACGCCUGUCAUCCUUGUAAUUACCCUAGCAAUAAUUCUGAUGACAACAGUGACUGUCAUACGGUAUUGUACAUGUAAGUUCAUAUAUUAACAUGUUCUAAUAAAUUACGAUAGCAGAUGUUUAUCUGGUCACGUAGUGGGUAGACACAUUGCAUUCGUUUGAUGUAGAAUAAAACAUUAGCUGCUCCGAGACAUGUAUCUUUUUACGUUUCUUCCAUCACAAUCAACUAUUCUUCAUAAAAUAUUAUAUGAAUGAUUUUAUUUAUUCAAUGCUGUGAUAUAACGGAUAAAAAUAAGUUAAUUAUAAUUAUCAUAUCAAAAUUAUCUCCUCAAAGGAAAACGUAUUUAAAUUUAAGGAAGCAAUCAUUAAACUAAAAACACCAUUCCCUCAAUGAAUUACAAAAGAUAAUUUCAAUCCAUAAAAAUUCAAUAAACAUGAUGUCAAUGACUUAUGCUUGAACAUUCUAUCUCUAAUUUUAGGUUGUAAACAUGGCAACGCCAAAGGAAUGAUAUUGCUCAACCAAACUGUAUAGACAAUGAGAGUAAUGGAAAACCCAUCCUUCAGGC
This 606-nucleotide long non-coding RNA is filed under the name Mytilus galloprovincialis (Mediterranean mussel). Lineage: Eukaryota; Metazoa; Mollusca; Bivalvia; Mytilida; Mytilidae. The record is from RNAcentral.